UGACGGAUGCCAGGACCAAAGCGCUGCCCCGUUACGAGCCGGAGAGGUACCUUGUGACCUGUGUCCCGUCCCACGCCCCGCGCUCAAGUCCUGCGUGAAGUGCCUCUCCUCCUACUGUGACUUCCAUUUGCAGCCGCAUUACCAGGACGCGGAGCUGGGGCGCCACCUGCUGGUCGACGUGGUGAAGAACCUGGAGGGCCCGUGUGUAAAGUGCACGGGAGGCAGCUGGAGAGGUUUUGCAGGACUGACCAGACGUGCAUCUGUGCCAUAUGCGCCCAGACUGACCACAGGGGGCACCGCGCCGUCACUGUGAAGAAAGAGGCCAUGCGGAAGAAGGUUCAGCUAAGGCGCAAACAUUCCAGGCUUGCACAGACGAUACAGGGGAGACUGGCCGAGGUGGACGAGCUAAAGUCGACCGCUGAGAUUGAAAACAACAAAGACCUCAUGAUGGAGCUGGAGGAGGACACUGCCGAGCUGCAGAGGAGACGCGACCAGCUGGACCAACUCCUGCAGAUGGACGACAAUCUGCACUUUCUACAGAGAUUUUUGCUCGCCGCUCCAUUGUGACUGCUGGACGGACACAAUCAAGCUUACAAGCUCAAACCACUUUUUCCUCCCACAAUGAUGGACAUUGAACAGCCUCAAGCUUCAGACAAUUUCCUCCAGUGACAGCAACACAGCCUUCACAACACUCUCAGGGACUCUGUUCGUGAUCGUAUUUGCUGAUUUGAAAAUGCACAUGUGAAUGGUUAUGGGUGACUGUGUGUAAGGUUGAAACAAAAUAAAUGUGAAAACGUCCUAUUUUUUUAAUGGAUUUUGGUGUGAAUUAAAUGGUACAGGUUUUUAACCAAAUAGAAGUGUGUAGGCUAACCACUAAACAAGGCAAACAACAUCAACAAAACCAAACAAAUAAUAAAACAACUAAUAUUUUUUACGGUGGAAAUGGGAAUGCCAAUAAUAAUGGGUCAUGGUGAUUACAUAAUACUUAAUAACUAACUCAAUAUUCAAUUAAUAGAAUAGUGACGGGUGUUUAUAAGUAAUGAUUGGUAGGCACUUAUAAGCUUUCUUGCUUCGGCCUACUCCUUUUGAGUUUUUGCUACUUUUUUGUUACUUUAUUUAUUUCUGCACUGCUACAAUAAAUAAUGUAAAUAAUCACUCAAAUAAAUUUCACUAAACUAAACUAGGCUGGUUAUUUGAGCAGUUAUAAACCAGUUGUACUUUAACUCCUGGCAAUGUUCUCAGGGACUCGUUGAUGUUUACAACUGAUAUAAAUGAAAAUACUCUGUUCGUGAUCGUAUUUGCUGAUUUGAAAAUGCACAUGUGAAUGGUUAUGGGUGACUGUGUGUAUGGUUGAAACAAAAUAAAUGUGAAAACGUCCUAUUUUUUUUUAAUGGAUUUUGGUGUGAAUUAAAUGGUACAGGUUUUUAACCAA
Molecule: long non-coding RNA, 1432 nt
Filed under: Neogobius melanostomus (round goby)
Lineage: Eukaryota; Metazoa; Chordata; Actinopteri; Gobiiformes; Gobiidae
Description: lncRNA (ENSNMLG00000004344.1)
Source: RNAcentral